AGGAAAAAGGGAAAUCUCUUUUUGUCACUCUUCAUUUGAUACAAAUUCCUGAACAAUGCCUGAAGCUAAGAGGAGACCUAGAUUAGAGUUUUCUUCUUCUCAUCCUUGUUCCAAGAACAUUGGCAGUAAGGCUUGCAUUUAUCAUCUAACUCUAGCAGAUCUGAGCAAUUUCCUGCAACUUGCAAGAUCCCUUCAGAGGCAGCCAUGAGUCUACAGCACGGUUGAUGAUGGCAGUCAAGUAAAGCUAGGCCAGAUGGAAGUUGGAGGUGAACAAUUUACAGCUUUCCUAACGACAGGACAAGAGUAGAACCAGGCAGACAAGAUACUCUGCCCCUUCCUUAGCAGAUCAGCAUCAACAGAAGAAGAAAUAGCUAUGCUGUUGCAGUAAUGGAAGAUUAGAAAAUGCUGAACAUGAACAAAUCAGAAACACAAGAGAACAGCAGUGCUCAUCAGGUGUAACAGCAACUCCAUUUGGAUGGCACUGGCUUCCAGUGGAGUCGCUGUUACUUUCGAUGGGCACUUACAGAUCAAGGAUCCUUUCCCUUUCGAAAUCGUUGUUUCUACAAAGUAACUUCACCAGUGGUAUGACUGGUUUUCCAUGAGGUAGAAGGUGUACAAGACUAUGACCUAUGAAUUGACAGCCAGUGCAAUUACAGCUUUGCCUGUCAGUUCUAUAGGCCACUAUUUUGUCCAUCGCUAAAACAUUCAA
This is a long non-coding RNA of Pristis pectinata (smalltooth sawfish), 709 nucleotides long. RefSeq lists it as uncharacterized. Lineage: Eukaryota; Metazoa; Chordata; Chondrichthyes; Rhinopristiformes; Pristidae. The record is from RefSeq and is a predicted model, not a curated record. The transcript is spliced from 3 exons.